RNAcentral lists this long non-coding RNA (510 nucleotides) under Mytilus galloprovincialis (Mediterranean mussel). The record is from RNAcentral. Lineage: Eukaryota; Metazoa; Mollusca; Bivalvia; Mytilida; Mytilidae.
GCAGAUCAUAUGAACUUGUUAAUAGUUAACUAAAACAAAAUGAAAUGCAUAAAAUAGAUACAUUCUUCAACAUAGUAGAGACAAAAAUAACAAUGGACAGCACUUGUUGUCAAAUUGAUUCUUUUCAAAUUUGGAGGUAUCGUGUAUGGUUGUUUUUAAAGAAGAAAAAAACAAACUAAGUGUUAAUUUGAUUGUAUUACUAUAAAAUAUACAGCACACCUAACAAACAUCAUAAUUUUAUCUGUAGCAGUUAAAAAAAGAGUGACAAUUAAAUGUAAAGAAUUAUAACUUCUUUGAAAUAAUAAGUUUGGUUAUUUAAACUAACAAUGCACAGUCCUUUUUUAUUGACCAAUUUUUUUCAGCCUCUUCGAACAUCAGAGUCGUAAAAAUGAGAUAAAAUAAAAUUAUCAAAUGCUUAUCUGACCUAAAUUUGAACAUGUUGGUUAAAUUAUUUCAGUGACCUAUUUUUGACUUCUUACUAUCCAAUGUAUUGAAAUGGAGGUCCAAAAA